GGCGGCGUAGCUCAGUUUGGUUAGAGCGUGGGAUUCAUAAACCCAAGGUCGCAGGUUCGAUUCCUGCCGUCGCCA
RNAcentral lists this transfer RNA (75 nucleotides) under Planctomycetota bacterium. RNAcentral describes it as "tRNA-Met". It matches the Rfam family "tRNA". Rfam says of the family: Transfer RNA (tRNA) molecules are approximately 80 nucleotides in length. Their secondary structure includes four short double-helical elements and three loops (D, anti-codon, and T loops). Further hydrogen bonds mediate the characteristic L-shaped molecular structure. tRNAs have two regions of fundamental functional importance: the anti-codon, which is responsible for specific mRNA codon recognition, and the 3' end, to which the tRNAs corresponding amino acid is attached (by aminoacyl-tRNA synthetases). tRNAs cope with the degeneracy of the genetic code in two manners: having more than one tRNA (with a specific anti-codon) for a particular amino acid; and 'wobble' base-pairing, i.e. permitting non-standard base-pairing at the 3rd anti-codon position. The record is from RNAcentral. RNAcentral also lists the same sequence under 1 other name. Lineage: Bacteria; Pseudomonadati; Planctomycetota.